RNAcentral lists this ribosomal RNA (301 nucleotides) under uncultured bacterium. RNAcentral describes it as "partial 16S ribosomal RNA". It matches the Rfam family "Archaeal small subunit ribosomal RNA", at positions 459 to 760 of the family's 1478-position model. The record is from RNAcentral.
CAGUCGCCACGGGAACACCAGCACCUCGAGUGGUCAGGAGGUUUAUUGGGCCUAAAGCAUCCGUAGCCGGUUGCAUAAGUUUUCGGUUAAAUCUAUGCGCUUAACGUAUAGGCCGCCGAAAAUACUGUGCAGCUAGGGAGUGGGAGAGGUACACGGUACUCGAUAGGAAGGGGUAAAAUCCUUUGAUCUAUUGAUGACCACCUGUGGCGAAGGCGGUGUACCAGAACACGUUCGACGGUGAGGGAUGAAAGCUGGGGGAGCAAACCGGAUUAGAUACCCGAGUAGUCCCUGUCUCUUAUAC